GAUGAAGAACGCAGCAAAAUGCGAUACUUGGUGUGAAUUGCAGAAUCCCGUGAACCAUCGAGUUUUUGAACGCAAGUUGCGCCCGAAGCCUUUUGGCCGAGGGCACGUCUGCCUGGGCGUCACGCAUCGCGUCGCCCCCCACAACUCUCCGUAAAGGGAACUUGUGUUUUGGGGGCGGAUAUUGGUCUCCCGUGCUGAUGGCGUGGUUGGCCGAAAUAGGAGUCCCUCCGGUGGACGCACGAACUAGUGGUGGUCGUAAAAACCCUCGUCUUUUGUUUCGUGCCGUUAGUCGCGAGGGAAACUCUUUAAAACCCCAAAUGUGUCGUCUCUUGACGGCGCUUCGACCGCGACCCCAGGUCAGGCGGGACUACCCGCUGAGUUUAAGCAUAUCAAUAAGCGGAGGA
Molecule: unclassified non-coding RNA, 404 nt
Filed under: soil metagenome
Description: partial contains 5.8S ribosomal RNA, internal transcribed spacer 2, and large subunit ribosomal RNA
Rfam family: 5.8S ribosomal RNA (bases 1-122)
Source: RNAcentral